AUACACACCAUCUUAUAAUCAUAACAAACAACAAUUUAAAGGAUAAACUGAGAAGUAGAGCUAGCUAUUUCUCCAAGGAGAACUAAUGGAUAAAUGUAGAACACCCUGAUGGCAUACAGAACAGCUGAUUAUGGAGGUGGGCCUCCAGGUCCACCUGGGCCUCCAGGACCACCAAAGCAAUCCUGUAGCAACCAGCAACAGCACAAGAAGUUCAGGCUGCAACCAAAAUCAAGACCAAAAUUAAACUCUGAAAAAGAAAAAUUAAAAGUAAAUAAAUAAAUCUUCAAAUCGCAUUUCCAAACAGCCUCCUAAUGAAAAAGUUGGUCUCCAUCAACCCCACAUUGGUUAGAUUUUACCUUUUAGCAACUAAACGAGAAUUCAAAGAACAAAUGAUUUAAAAUUGGAUCAGUUUUCUGCAUGAAAGAACUUACCAUGAAGAAAUAGCAUCGCAGAAACCGCCAAAGAAACCACCCGGGCCAGGGCCACCGGGGCCAGGACCCCACCCUCCAGGCCCUCCAGGUCCUCCAGGUCCUCCAGGCCCUCCAGGUCCCAUUACUAGCCUCUCUACACCCACAAACCUACGCCAGCGCCGGACUGUGAUAUAAGCUCACAACCUCUGUUGGAAGCUCUGUGGUCGGAUGGCAAUGAGGGAAAGGUUCCGACUCUAUAUAUAGAAGCUUAUAGGAGGCGGAGGAGGGAGGGCGGUGGAGGU
RNAcentral lists this long non-coding RNA (712 nucleotides) under Vitis vinifera (wine grape). RNAcentral describes it as "long non-coding RNA (VVIN_LNC004500)". The record is from RNAcentral. Lineage: Eukaryota; Viridiplantae; Streptophyta; Magnoliopsida; Vitales; Vitaceae.